Molecule: long non-coding RNA, 1030 nt
Filed under: Cairina moschata (Muscovy duck)
Lineage: Eukaryota; Metazoa; Chordata; Aves; Anseriformes; Anatidae
Description: domestica (muscovy Duck (domestic type)) lncRNA (ENSCMMG00000001507.1)
Source: RNAcentral
AUGAAACAAUGGAAUAAGUCAGCACCAGGCACAGCUCUGUUGAAGCCAAUGGAACCACUUCACUUUCCACUUGCUGAGGCAGUGUAUUUUGUCAUUGAUUCCAGAGUAUCUUCUGGUUUUGAAACUGAAGAUAAGCCUUCAAAGUUGAGUUUCCUAUUGCAAAUGGACUUUAUGCUCAGCAACCACUGGGUUACAUUUUCUUUGCCUCACCCUUCAAGGCUUGUCACACCUGAAUUGUGGAAUUAUGCAGGCCAGCUGGCAGCCCAGUCCAACACAAUGUGUGUGCCAUGCAAAGUGUUUGUUGUAACAAACCUCUGAGGUUUUGAAGGAUCCUCUUCAAGGAAUGAAGAACUGCAAAUCUUCAUAUCCCUGCCUUCCUCCAAGGAACACCCUGCUCCUUCCCUAAGAGUAGGUGAAGUGUCUCAGGUCAGGGAAGCAGUGGAAGCAUUGCAGCAAAACUGCUCAUCACCCACCGCCACUUCCUUCAGCUCUCAAAAGUGCUGCUGACUUCUCCUGAGAUGCCUGGCUGUAACAGCUGAAGGCGUAUCUCAGCCCAAGGCAGCAGCACCUCUAUGACAACAGGUAGCUUUUAGCUCCAGAUACAGCUUCUUCAGUGUUUGGGAAAGUAAAGCAGGAACUUAAUAAGGGAGCUCACAAAUGGCAUCUUUUUGUGACGGUCCAAGCCAAAAUUCUGUCUAGCAAAGCCACUGAUGUCUUUAUGUGCUUAAUAAAGUCUGUUUUAGAUCCAGUUUCUGUAACUCAAACCAUCUCCAAUUAAUCUAAACAAAUAAUCCCAGGCACAGAUCUAACUAGCUGAUUUCUGCUAUUCUUCAACACUAAUGUUCAGACACACUACUGAGAGUGAUGGGUCAACAGGAACAACAGGAAGCAACUGUGCUUUAAAAUUCCUUCUCCUGAUACCACAGGGACAAUAUAAUUUUGUUCCUCCAAAAAAAAAAAAAAAAAAAAAAAAAGAAAAUUUGUAUAUAUUAAUUCUACAGAAAUGUUCUUGUGCCUACAUAAAACCUGG